Molecule: ribosomal RNA, 549 nt
Filed under: uncultured fungus
Lineage: Eukaryota; Fungi
Description: eukaryotic LSU rRNA
Rfam family: Eukaryotic large subunit ribosomal RNA
Source: RNAcentral
CCCGCUGAACUUAAGCAUAUCAGUAAGCGGAGGAAAAGAAACUAACAAGGAUUCCCCCAGUAACGGCGAGUGAAGCGGGAACAGCCCAUGACGAACCUUCCAGCAGCAAUGCAGGACGGCAUGUGUCGUGUAGGCGUGCGCGAGUGGGCAGCGGGCGUCGCAGGUCCCCUGGAAAGGGGCGGCACAGAGGGUGAGACCCCCGUGGCGACGGGCGCUGCGCACCACGCGCACGGCAGCGAGUCGGAUUGUUUGGGAAUGCAAUCCCAAGCAGGUGGUACGCGCCAUCUAAGGCUAAAUAGCGGCAAGAGACCGAUAGCAAACAAGUACCGUGAGGGAAAGAUGAAAAGGACUCUGAAGAGAGAGUCAAAAGUGCGUGAAAUUGCGGCGAGGGAAACGAAGGCGCGUGCGCAAAGGGGAGUGCCGGCGUCUGGAGGCGCAACAAGCGGCCUGGGAGGUGCCACGCGGCGACGCAUGGACAUACAGCCAGGCCGGCUUGCGCAACCGGGCACCCGGCACGGGCGCGCGUCUUUGACCCGUCUUGAAACACGG